This 69-nucleotide transfer RNA is filed under the name Sphaerodactylus townsendi. Its description in RNAcentral is "tRNA-Ala". It matches the Rfam family "tRNA". Rfam says of the family: Transfer RNA (tRNA) molecules are approximately 80 nucleotides in length. Their secondary structure includes four short double-helical elements and three loops (D, anti-codon, and T loops). Further hydrogen bonds mediate the characteristic L-shaped molecular structure. tRNAs have two regions of fundamental functional importance: the anti-codon, which is responsible for specific mRNA codon recognition, and the 3' end, to which the tRNAs corresponding amino acid is attached (by aminoacyl-tRNA synthetases). tRNAs cope with the degeneracy of the genetic code in two manners: having more than one tRNA (with a specific anti-codon) for a particular amino acid; and 'wobble' base-pairing, i.e. permitting non-standard base-pairing at the 3rd anti-codon position. Lineage: Eukaryota; Metazoa; Chordata; Lepidosauria; Squamata; Sphaerodactylidae. The record is from RNAcentral.
GGGAUGGCUCAGCCGUAGAGCUUCUGCUUUGCAUGCGGAAGGUGCUAGGUUCAAUCCCUGGCAUCUCCG